RNAcentral lists this microRNA precursor (74 nucleotides) under Myotis lucifugus (little brown bat). RNAcentral's name for it is "mir-9229 microRNA precursor family". It matches the Rfam family "mir-9229 microRNA precursor family". The record is from Rfam by way of RNAcentral. Lineage: Eukaryota; Metazoa; Chordata; Mammalia; Chiroptera; Vespertilionidae.
AGACACCCUUCUGGGGCAAGACUUGCUUCAGUGGGGCUUGGCGCUCACUGAGUCUGCCCCCUGAGUGUGUCCCU